CCUACGGAAGGCAGCAGUGAGGAAUAUUGGUCAAUGGACGGAAGUCUGAACCAGCCAUGCCGCGUGCAGGAUGACGGCUCUAUGAGUUGUAAACUGCUUUUGUACGAGAAUAAUAGUUCUUACGUGUAGUGAUUUGCAUGUAUCUUACGAAUAAGGAUCGGCUAACUCCGUGCCAGCAGCCGCGGUAAUACGGAGGAUUCGAGCGUUAUCCGGAUUUAUUGGGUUUAAAGGGUGCGUAGGCUGUCGGAUAAGUUAGAUGUCAAAGGUCGGGGCUUAACCCCGUGCCUGCCUCUGAUACUGUUCGACUAGAGAGCGGAUGAAGCAGGCGGAAUGAGUAGUGUAGCGGUGAAAUGCUUAGAUAUUACUCAGAACACCGAUUGCGAAGGCAGCUUGCUAAUCCGCAUCUGACGCUGAUGCACGAAAGCGUGGGUAGCGAACAGGAUUAGAUACCCCUGUAGUC
Molecule: ribosomal RNA, 460 nt
Filed under: uncultured bacterium
Lineage: Bacteria
Description: partial 16S ribosomal RNA
Rfam family: Bacterial small subunit ribosomal RNA
Source: RNAcentral